UUUAAUGUUCAUGAAUGUCAAUGUCUGCCUUGUGUGAUGUGAACGUGCUACAGUAAGACAUGUCUGUGCUCUGUGGGCUCGCGGGACGAAGGGACGGUUGAGCGUCAAAGAGCAAGAAAGUGCAGGUAAGGAGCCCCGAAGCACCGAGGUAAGGAAGUCAAUUGGCUCGAUUUGGAUUUAGGAGCUAAAUGACAAUCAUUUGGCAGCUAAGAAGAUUGUACACUUGUCUUAAGUCUGUAGAUGUAUACAUAAAAAAAAAAUUACUUUGUCACCAACUAAAACACUUCAGAAGAAAUACACCGUUAAAGAGGUUAAAUAUUGUAUUUCAUACACUCACCAUUUCUGUGAUCUUCAGUAUUGAUCGUUUGGAUGGGAAAAAGUCCAGGUCCACCUCCAUGACUGACAGUUGCUGUUUUUCUGACUUUUUAGCACACACACACACACACACACAUUCACUUCCUGAAUCAGAGUACCUGUGUGCUUCAGGAAACGCAACACCAGGUGUAGAAACCGUACAGUUCUAAAACACACUGUCAAAAACCCAAGGCACAGGGCAGGGCGUCAAACCCGGGCAGGAUGCCUGGUGUCACAGGGUGGCACGUGGAUCGAAACGUCGACCGAGAACCGGGCCUUUAUGUCUGACGUCACAGUGUGACCUCACAAAUGUCAUUUUGACCACACGGACACAGAUCCCCACAGACGCGCUGUAAAUCUUAUGGUAAUCUGUCCCAGGGUGUUUAUGCAACAUUUACCUGUAGGGCCCACAGAUAGUGGUUAGCAUCGGCAUUUGUUCAUCUCACAGUGAGGUUUUGACCCCGAGUACAGCUGCCCAAAUCAGACUCUCAUGGGGUAAAAGCCCCGAGCCACGAACGGUAGGAUGGUGAUCUUUCUUCGUCGUUCAAUAGGCGUACCUGGGCGGGCGCUGUGAGGAACCAGGCCGAGGCCAUCGGGCGCCCAGCGGAGGAGGCCAGACUGUACCGCGGGCCCAUCGAAUCGAGGCGUACCUGGAGGCCAUUCACCAGCUCUACGAAGACUGGCUGAUUAAACAAAGCAGUUUUCCAGUUCCAGCAGCGGUCCAGGUGCUGGCGGCUGAAAGGGACCCUCCGAAGGUCAUGCAGCAGUGAGAGCGGAACCUCGAGAAGAUGUUCGACAAGUCCGGUCUGCGGCGGCUGAGCAAACUGGUGGAGGAAGAGCGACAUUAGAACGUGUAAUAGACCGCGACGAUUGAUUGAGCGAGUUGCGAACAGACGUUGUGACUGUUUGAUGGAUUUAUUUGUUAGACACAUGAAUAAAUGAAAAGAAUAAAAUUCCCUGUUCAGUGUUGUCUGUGACGAGUAGCGAGUGUAGUUUGUAGUAGACUUGAAUAGUACAAAAAUCACAAUGAUAGGUGGUGAACUUAUUUAUUAUUAAUAAAUAAUCCUUAUAUAUAUAUAUAUAGCCACCAAGAAACCAAAAAAAACAGGUGUGGAACUUAUAUAUAUAUAUAUAUAUAUAUAUAUUCUUUUUUUUUUUUUUUUUUUUAAAGUCCCAGACCUGCUUUUCCCGGGAAAAAAGAGAAAAGAAGGUGAUAGAAAAAAAAAAGGAAAGAAGGUGAUUGAAAAAAAAAAGGAAAGAAGGUGAUAGGAAAAAAAGAGGAAAGAAGGUGAUAGGAAAAAAAAAGAGGAAAGAAGGUGAUUGAAAAAAAAGAGGAAAGAAGGUGAUUGAAAAAAAAAGAGGAAAGAAGGUGAUUGAAAAAAAAAGAGGAAAGAAGGUGAUUGAAAAAAAAAAAAAAGGAAAGAAGGUGAUUGAAAAAAAAGAGGAAAGAAGGUGAUUGAAAAAAAAGAGGAAAGAAGGUGAUUGAAAAAAAAGAGGAAAGAAGGUGAUUGAAAAAAAAAAGGAAAGAAGGUGAUAGAAAAAAAAGAGGAAAGGUGAUAGAAAAAAAAAGAGGAAAGGUGAUAGAAAAAAAAGAGGGAAAGAAGGUGAUGAUUAAUCGGCGUACCUGGGCAAGCGCUGUAAGGAACCAGGCGUAGGCCAUCAGACACCCAGCGGAGGAGGCCAGACUGUACCACAGACCCAUUGAAUCAAGGUAAGCAAAAAUCUCAGGACCCCAAGGGGAAAUCCUCUGUUUGCAUUCUUAUUUUAUUAUUUUUUUUUUCCUUUUAUUUCAGGAGUACGGGUGAAGGUCUCGGGUGAGAGGAAGGUGAAGGCGUUUGGGAGGAGUCUGCCUGACCGAGGCUGUGAGGACCCUGUCCAAACGUGAGCCUCUGACUACACUGACCAGACCAGACCUUCGCUGAACAGGAAGAUGCACCACAUCCAAGAGUACACAGUUUUGACAGAACCCGUUUCAAACCGGAGGAACGUGCGAGGACACGACCCGCCGGGUUUGAUGUAUCGGGAUCCGGCGAGAUGGGGACUCGCUCUACAGACCUACGUCCAGCUGACGAUGCUGGAUCGACACCUCCAACACACAGAAGCUCCAUUGAGGAUGAUGGAGAGAUCGCUGUACAGCGCUAAAUACAUCUUUGUGGAAAACCUGUACAGAAGGUGCGGUUCACAUUCCAAAGCCAAAUAGACACGGCGCCUACACUGUCGUUCGCCGUUUGUACACCGCAGCUGUCGGUCGGUAUCGUCGACCAAACCGAUGAGUGUGAUCGUCCAACGUCGGUCAGGGCGGCCGGAUAAAGGUUUUCAUCGGGCAUGCAGAUGAAUCGUGUCUUCCUGAGGUAUAGACGAGGAAUGAAGAAAUGACUCCGUCGACACUGUUCUGGGUCUACGAGCAAAUUAUUUAUUUCAACCAAAACAGUAUCGAUCCGAACGCCCAAGCUGAUCGGGAGAGGAGGAAGCCGAUAUGUGCUUCUACGAGCUGUGGACCGACUGCUCGAAGUUAUAUCCGAGUGUCAUCUGUAUAGUGUCGUCCCAUGAGAAGACAUAAUGAAAUAUUAGCAGAAACGUGAGGGGUGUACUCGCUUUUGUGAGAUACUGUAGAUGUUUGAUGUCCUGAUGAACUGUAAACUUAUAAAGAACCUCCUUAGAUGUUCUUGUAGACACUUUAGGAUUUCAUUCACAGCUAUGAAGAAAAUGUUAUUGAAGUACUAAUGUAUGAAAUCCACAUCAACUCCAUCACAGUCAUAUGAUUAAGUAUGUGUAGUGUAACUUGGUGGAGAAUCACAGGCUUCGUUCUGAGUCAGUAGGCAGACGUUGCUGGAUGCAGAUGUGUCCUCACUGUGAAACGACCUCGCCGAUAAGCAAUCCUGGCAGCCGGAAGACGCAGCGCUCCCAAAGCCCGCGUGAUCGAUUAGAGUAGGAUAGAUACAAGUAGGUUCUCCCGGCAGUUCCGCAACAGAAGGACAAAGUGGUAUCAUCGAAGUCGGUAAUCGUUUGUGUCGUUCUGACCGUACGUGUCAUUGACGAGCUCUUGUAAGGAUUAGCGAUGUGUGAACACAUUAUAUAGAUGUGUAG
RNA transcript from Trichomycterus rosablanca, 3441 nucleotides. It is a transcript of the gene named thymidine kinase 2, with no coding region annotated. The transcript has 8 exons. The record is from RefSeq and is a predicted model, not a curated record. Lineage: Eukaryota; Metazoa; Chordata; Actinopteri; Siluriformes; Trichomycteridae.